Molecule: ribosomal RNA, 317 nt
Filed under: uncultured Nitrosomonas sp. B9
Lineage: Bacteria; Pseudomonadati; Pseudomonadota; Betaproteobacteria; Nitrosomonadales; Nitrosomonadaceae
Description: bacterial SSU rRNA
Rfam family: Bacterial small subunit ribosomal RNA
Source: RNAcentral
GGCGGGGGCACGGGGGGAGGAAAGUAGGGGAUCGAAAGACCUUAUGCUUUUGGAGCGGCCGAUGUCUGAUUAGCUAGUUGGUAGGGUAAUGGCUUACCAAGGCGACGAUCAGUAGUUGGUCUGAGAGGACGACCAGCCACACUGGGACUGAGACACGGCCCAGACUCCUACGGGAGGCAGCAGUGGGGAAUUUUGGACAAUGGGCGCAAGCCUGAUCCAGCAAUGCCGCGUGAGUGAAGAAGGCCUUCGGGUUGUAAAGCUCUUUCAGUUGAGAAGAAAAAGUNGUGACUAAUAAUCAUGAUUCAUGACGGUAUCAA